UCCGGUGUGGUGUAUCGGUAACAUAGGUGCCUUUCAGUCCUUACUUGGAAGAAGAGCGCACUUGCGCGGGGUUCGACUCCCCGCACCGGAA
Non-coding RNA from Mycena crocata, 91 nucleotides. Lineage: Eukaryota; Fungi; Basidiomycota; Agaricomycetes; Agaricales; Mycenaceae. The record is from the annotation of a GenBank genome assembly.